Molecule: long non-coding RNA, 414 nt
Organism: Boleophthalmus pectinirostris (great blue-spotted mudskipper)
Lineage: Eukaryota; Metazoa; Chordata; Actinopteri; Gobiiformes; Gobiidae
Exons: 3
Source: RefSeq, a predicted model, not a curated record
GCAGCCUUUUUCUGUCAUGGACCAUGAUGUGGACUAGACAUGAUGAAAUUCACUGAAAUUCAUUCUGCUGGGAUGCGAAUAACAGACUCACUUCUUCAAAGGGCAUUAAUUCUUACGCUGAAAAAGUAGUAACGUUGAUUGUACUUUGUAAUUGGGUUAAAGCGGUUUAUAACCUGUUAAUAAGUAACUAGCUAGCUAAGGUACUUAACACCAAGGAGCAAAAGAGGAUUUAUGAACGAUGAGGCCUAGGCAUAGAGGAUCCAAUCUUGGCUUGUUGUUGCUGGCCUCUCAGCUGUUUCAAGUGGGUUUUGAUAACAUCCCCCCUGUGACUCUGGCUGUUUUGGGACUGAAUGUUUAUCUUUAUUUAUUUCCUGCAGCUCCACUGAUGAUGGUCUGUGUAAGUGUAGAGCAGGC